This 85-nucleotide transfer RNA is filed under the name Chloroflexota bacterium. RNAcentral's name for it is "tRNA-Leu". It matches the Rfam family "tRNA". Rfam says of the family: Transfer RNA (tRNA) molecules are approximately 80 nucleotides in length. Their secondary structure includes four short double-helical elements and three loops (D, anti-codon, and T loops). The record is from RNAcentral. Lineage: Bacteria; Bacillati; Chloroflexota.
GCCGAAAUGGCGGAAUUGGCAGACGCGCUACGUUCAGGGCGUAGUUCCUUUACAGGAGUCUGGGUUCGACUCCCAGUUUCGGCAC